This 439-nucleotide ribosomal RNA is filed under the name uncultured bacterium. Its description in RNAcentral is "partial 16S ribosomal RNA". It matches the Rfam family "Bacterial small subunit ribosomal RNA", at positions 339 to 795 of the family's 1533-position model. The record is from RNAcentral.
CUACGGGACGCAGCAGCGAGGAAUAUUGCACAAUGGGGGGAACCCUGAUGCAGCAACGCCGCGUGGGGGAUGACGCAUUUCGGUGUGUAAACUCCUUUUAUAUGUCAAGAAAAUGACGGUAGCAUAUGAAUAAGCACCGGCUAACUCCGUGCCAGCAGCCGCGGUAAUACGGAGGGUGCAAGCGUUACUCGGAAUCACUGGGCGUAAAGGACGCGUAGGCGGGUUGGAAAGUCAGGUGUGAAAUCCUACAGCUUAACUGUAGAACUGCACUUGAAACUUCUAAUCUAGAGUAUGGGAGGGGGAGAUGGAAUUAGUGGUGUAGGGGUAAAAUCCGUAGAUAUCACUAGGAAUACCUGAAGCGAAGGCGAUCUCCUGGAACAUUACUGACGCUAAGGCGUGAAAGCGUGGGGAGCAAACAGGAUUAGAUACCCCUGUAGUC